AUGAUGUUGUAAGUCACCUCAAACGAACUUCUGAGAUACCUCCUGAACUUUCUAAAUAUGUGGCACAAUCUGUUGAAGCGAGUAUUUCCUGUGUCCAUAAAAUCCUUUAGAUGCUAUCUAUCGUCAUACUAGCCGUAACAUUUUUCAUUCCUUUUCAGCUUCUCCUUCGUUCUGUAUUAUAUUUCUGGGAGCCUACAUUUCAUCCCAUGAUACGUCAGGCCAACAUGGAAAAACUUUGGAUGUAGUUGAUGGGUUAAUGGCAAGGGAAGAAUGCUUAGAGCCAGUUGCACCGCUUAUUAGAGAUUUCCCGCUUCAUUUGCAACCUUAUGCACAUGCUUUGAUUAAGUCUAAGCUUGAAGAGUCUAAGUACUAUGUUGCAGUAAAUCAAAUAAGGUUGCAUGAACAGUUUGAUGAGUUUUUGGCCUCUAGCAAGUUGGACUGUGAUGUGUAUCGGUUCAUGUUUUCAAAGGUUACUCUUCCUGUUCAGAUAGACGAAGAUUGUAUGGAGGUUGUUGUAAACAAGGUGCCAAGUAAGUUUUGGGAAUUGGAGCCUGCUCUAAGAAAACUAUCUUUUGAGCGGAGAGCAGACAUUGUACAAGUGGAGACUGAAAUCUACACCUAUCUUGAAUGUUUGCAAGGACUCUUUGCGAGUGAGGAAGUACGUAUACAACAGUUAAUCCGCUGUUUUACUGCUUGCUCAAGCGGCUCUUAUUCCUUUAUCUGUCCUUUUUUC
RNA transcript from Brachypodium distachyon (stiff brome), 733 nucleotides. RefSeq lists it as uncharacterized. Lineage: Eukaryota; Viridiplantae; Streptophyta; Magnoliopsida; Poales; Poaceae. The transcript has 6 exons. The record is from RefSeq and is a predicted model, not a curated record.